UUAAUUGAAACCAAAAUAGCGGUAUAUCACUGUUAAUGAUAAAAUUGAGAUCAUCUCCAAUUAAAGAAA
This 69-nucleotide transfer RNA is filed under the name Cryptolestes ferrugineus. Its description in RNAcentral is "tRNA-Asn". Lineage: Eukaryota; Metazoa; Arthropoda; Insecta; Coleoptera; Laemophloeidae. The record is from RNAcentral.